GAUGGACGCUGGCGGCGUGCCUAACACAUGCAAGUCGAGCGAACCCUUCGGGGUGAGCGGCGGACGGGUGAGUAACGCGUGGGUAACCUGCCCUAUACACACGGAUAACGUACCGAAAGGUACGCUAAUACGGGAUAAAGUUGUUGGAUGGCAUCUUCUAACAAUCAAAGCUCCGGCGGUAUAGGAUGGACCCGCGUCUGAUUAGCUAGUUGGUGAGGUAAUGGCUCACCAAGGCGACGAUCAGUAGCCGACCUGAGAGGGUGAUCGGCCACACUGGAACUGAGACACGGUCCAGACUCCUACGGGAGGCAGCAGUGGGGAAUAUUGCACAAUGGGCGAAAGCCUGAUGCAGCAACGCCGCGUGAGCGAUGAGGGUCUUCGGAUCGUAAAGCUCUGUCCUCAAGGAAGAUAAUGACGGUACUUGAGGAGGAAGCCCCGGCUAACUACGUGCCAGCCGCCGCUGUAA
Molecule: ribosomal RNA, 466 nt
Filed under: uncultured bacterium
Lineage: Bacteria
Description: partial 16S ribosomal RNA
Rfam family: Bacterial small subunit ribosomal RNA
Source: RNAcentral